AGUUCGGAGGUAUCUGUACAGGAAGAAGAUAUAUACUAUUCCCAAAAUGAAACGCAUACGCCAGAAAUCUGUUGCGAAAAUGUUGUAUUUUCAAACAUGUAUAACUCGUCCACAAACAGACUUUAGUG
Haliotis rubra (blacklip abalone) is the source of this 128-nucleotide long non-coding RNA. RefSeq lists it as uncharacterized. The record is from RefSeq and is a predicted model, not a curated record. Lineage: Eukaryota; Metazoa; Mollusca; Gastropoda; Lepetellida; Haliotidae. The transcript has 3 exons.